AAUUAUAUAGUUUAAAUAAAACUAUACACUUUCAUUGUAUCAAUAAUACUUCAGUAUUUAUAAUUA
RNAcentral lists this transfer RNA (66 nucleotides) under Furcilarnaca wufengensis. Its description in RNAcentral is "tRNA-Glu". RNAcentral also lists the same sequence under 1 other name. The record is from RNAcentral. Lineage: Eukaryota; Metazoa; Arthropoda; Insecta; Orthoptera; Gryllacrididae.